Molecule: ribosomal RNA, 315 nt
Filed under: Lautropia mirabilis
Lineage: Bacteria; Pseudomonadati; Pseudomonadota; Betaproteobacteria; Burkholderiales; Burkholderiaceae
Description: bacterial SSU rRNA
Rfam family: Bacterial small subunit ribosomal RNA
Source: RNAcentral
AAUACCGCAUACGACCUGAGGGUGAAAGCGGGGGAUCUUCCGGACCUCGCGCUAUUGGAGCCGCCGAUGGCAGAUUAGCUAGUUGGUGGGGUAAAGGCCUACCAAGGCGACGAUCUGUAGCUGGUCUGAGAGGACGACCAGCCACACUGGGACUGAGACACGGCCCAGACUCCUACGGGAGGCAGCAGUGGGGAAUUUUGGACAAUGGGCGAAAGCCUGAUCCAGCAAUGCCGCGUGUGUGAUGAAAGGGCUUCGGGUUGUAAAGCACUUUUGGCGGGAACGAAAAGGACUGUGCCAAUACCACGGUUCGAUGUC